Molecule: long non-coding RNA, 1008 nt
Organism: Daphnia pulicaria
Lineage: Eukaryota; Metazoa; Arthropoda; Branchiopoda; Diplostraca; Daphniidae
Exons: 5
Source: RefSeq, a predicted model, not a curated record
UUUCAAUUCAGCAAUCUGCGAAAGAGUUUAUGAGAAAAACAAUCUUUUAUAUUGUGAUCACAGACCUGGAGUUGCUGUGGCAAUAUCGAGUAACCAAGACACAACCUCCUUCAACUCAGACAACAGCUCAUUCUUGAUAAAUCUUCAGCAAAGAAGAAUGCAAAUGAGCUACGUGGAACAAAUCAGAAGACAAGAAGGAGUCUUGUGUAUCCUGAAGGCGACACAACUCAAGAUGCAUCAUUUUCAGUAGUUGCUAAGAAAAGCAAACCCAACCCUGCAGAAGAAAAACUUGUUGAAGAAAUUGAUGAACUGAAGUCCACAAAUAGGAAACUUGAAGACACAAUUACUUUUUUACUUUUACGACUUGAAAGAGAUUUGAAGAAUAAAGAAGACGAAAAUGAGGAACUGACAGAUACUUUGGAAAUUCUACGCUCGUGGUACGAAGAGCCACGAGAGUUAGCACAGCAAAUGAAAGAUAUUCUCCUUCAUCUUAAUGACGUUAUUUCUAACUUGAAUAGACGACCGGAAGCAUUACCUCCUACACCAUCUGCGAGUCCUUCUCAGUCGGCUGCUAAGUGGAUGGUUCAUCCAUUCGAUGGUGACAUAAUGAUCGAGUACAAUGCUCUGCGAGAUGCACCGAAAGAACCAAGAAGAAGAAUUUAAAAGGGCAGCAGCAAAACGUUGAAGAUGACAUAUUUGGUGGUGAAGCUACUAAUAACAAUGGAUUGUUUGAUAACAACCAGCAAACAGGACAAAAUGAAACAGCCUAAGUUUAUUUUACGCAUACAUUUUACGUGUCCUGCCAUUUUGUGCUCGAGUUCGAUUUUAUUAUCUCCUAUUGAUUGAUUUUCACGUGUUUUAAUUCCUUUAUUUCAUGCCGUGCGAAAUGUUUUUAUAGUUUAUUGAACGUACGUCCUAUUUCCCACUAGUUGUUCACACUUGUGUGAAUUUUACCUUACUGCCUUAAUUGCUGCCCUCGAUUCUGUUUUAAAAACCAAGUUUCUUAAA